GUAAUGUUUUUCCAAUAUGCUAUUUCUGUAACUCGGAAAAUGAAACCCUAAAUCAUUUACUGCUACAUUGUAAAAAAUUAAGACUAUUCCGAAAAUAUAAAAAUGACUUCAUUAGAAUAGAAAUCAAUGAUGAAACUUUUGUUUUAAAUGAAUUAAACUGUUUGUUAUUUAAUAUACCACAGGAACUAUUCCCAUCAAUGUAUGCAUUUGUUUAUUCAAUUUAUCAAAUUAGUUAUGUUAUCAAUUCAGGUGGUUUAAUUCAUACUCUUAACACCAUAAUGAUGACAUAAUUUUGGCCACAUAUACCAAUUCCACCAACAUGAGAAGGAAGGUUGAGGCCUGCAUCCCAAUAAUUUUUUAUGCCCCACCUACGAUAGUAGAGGGCAUUAUGUUUUCUGGUCUGUGCGUCCGUUCGUCCGUCCGUCUGUUCGUUCGUUCGUUCGUUCGUCCGUCUGUCCCGCUUCAGGUUAAAGUUUUUGGUCAAGGUAGUUUUUGAUGAAGUUGAAGUCCAAUCAACUUGAAACUUAGUACACAUGUUCCUUAUGAUAUGAUCUUUCUAAUUUAAAUGCCAAAUUAGAGUUUUAACCCCAAUUUUACAGUUCACUGAUAGAAAAUGAUAGUGCAAAUUUCAGGUUAAAGUUUUUGGCUUCAGGUUAAAGUUUUUGGUCAAGGUAGUUUUUGAUGAAGUUGAAGUCCAAUCAACUUGAAACUUAGUAUACAUGUGCCUAUGAUAUGAAUCUUUCUAAUUUAAAUGCCAAAUUAGAGUUUUGACCCCAAUUUUACGGUUCACUGAACAUAGAAAAUGAUAGUGCAAAUUUCAGGUUAAAGUUUUUGGCUUCAGGUUAAAGUUUUUGGUCAAGGUAGUUUUUGAUGAAGUUGAAGUCCAAUCAACUUGAAACUUAGUAUACAUGUGCCCUAUGAUAUGAUCUUUCUAAUUU
Molecule: long non-coding RNA, 938 nt
Filed under: Mytilus galloprovincialis (Mediterranean mussel)
Lineage: Eukaryota; Metazoa; Mollusca; Bivalvia; Mytilida; Mytilidae
Source: RNAcentral